GGUCAGCUGACACAUCCCUGCCAAUCUCCGGCAGACCCUCCCUCCCAGACCCUCCUACUUCCUGGACAGCAUCCAUGUUGAAGGCAGCUUCAACAUGGAUGCUGUCCAGGAGGUGGGAGGGUCUGGGAGGGAGGGUCUGCCGGAGAUUGGCAGGGAUGUGCCAGCUG
Molecule: non-coding RNA, 167 nt
Organism: Pelobates cultripes (western spadefoot toad)
Lineage: Eukaryota; Metazoa; Chordata; Amphibia; Anura; Pelobatidae
Source: the annotation of a GenBank genome assembly